ACGCUGGCGGCACGCCUAACACAUGCAAGUCGAACGAAGUAGCAAUACUUAGUGGCAGACGGGUGAGUAACAUGUAGGUAUCUGCCCUUUGGCCUGGAAUAACACGAGGAAACUUGUGCUAAUACCGGAUAAGUCUUUACGGAGAAAGCUUUAUGCACCAUUGGAUGAGCCUGCACUUGAUUAGUUUGUUGGUGGGGUAAUGGCCUACCAAGACUGUGAUCAAUAGCUGAUUUGAGAGGAUGAUCAGCCACAUUGGGACUGAGACACGGCCCAAACUCCUACGGGAGGCAGCAGUGGGGAAUCUUGCACAAUGGAGGAAACUCUGAUGCAGCGAUGCCGCGUGAGUGAAGAAGGCCCUUGGGUUGUAAAGCUCUUUCGUCGGGGAAGAAAAUGACUGUACCCGAAUAAGAAGGUCCGGCUAACUUCGUGCCAGCAGCCGCGGUAAUACGAAGGGACCUAGCGUAGUUCGGAGUUACUGGGCUUAAAGAGUUCGUAGGUGGUUGAAAAAGUUAGUGGUGAAAUCCCAGAGCUUAACUCUGGAACUGCCAUUAAAACUUUUCAGCUAGAGUAUGAUAGAGGAAAGCAGAAUUUCUAGUGUAGAGGUGAAAUUCGUAGAUAUUAGAAAGAAUACCAAUUGCGAAGGCAGCUUUCUGGAUCAUUACUGACACUGAGGAACGAAAGCAUGGGUAGCGAAGAGGAUUAGAUACCCUCGUAGUCCAUGCCGUAAACGAUGUGUGUUAGACGUUGGAAAUUUAUUUUCAGUGUCGCAGCGAAAGCGAUAAACACACCGCCUGGGGAGUACGACCGCAAGGUUAAAACUCAAAUGAAUUGACGGGGACCCGCACAAGUAGUGGAGCAUGUGGUUUAAUUCGAAGAUACGCGCAGAACCUUACCAACACUUGACAUGUUCGUCGCGACUUUAAGAGAUUAAAGUUUUCGGUUCGGCCGGACGAAACACAGGUGCUGCAUGGCUGUCGUCAGCUCGUGUCGUGAGAUGUUGGGUUAAGUCCCGCAACGAGCGCAACCCUCACUUUUAGUUGCCAUCAUUAAGUUGGGCACUCUGAAAGAACUGCCAGUGAUAAGCUGGAGGAAGGUGGGGAUGACGUCAAGUCCUCAUGGCCCUUACGUGUUGGGCUACACACGUGCUACAAUGGUAUCUACAACAGGAAGCAAAACGGCGACGUUAAGCAAAUCCUUAAAAGAUACCUCAGUUCGGAUUGCACUCUGCAACUCGAGUGCAUGAAGCUGGAAUUACUAGUAAUCGUGGAUCAGCGUGCCACGGUGAAUGCGUUCCCGGGUCUUGUACACACCGCCCGUCACACCAUGGGAGUUGGUUCUACCUUAAGGCAAGGUUUCAAACCCUUGACCACGGUAUAGUCAGCGACUGGGGUGA
RNAcentral lists this ribosomal RNA (1393 nucleotides) under uncultured bacterium. RNAcentral describes it as "16S ribosomal RNA". It matches the Rfam family "Bacterial small subunit ribosomal RNA". The record is from RNAcentral.